UACGUAGGGUGCAAGCGUUGUUCGGAAUUACUGGGCGUAAAGGGCGCGUAGGCGGGCCCGUAUGUCGAUUGUGAAAGCCCAGGGCUUAACCUUGGAAUUGCAGUCGAAACUGCGGGUCUUGAAUGCCUGAGGGGAUGGCGGAAUUUCCGGUGUAGAAGUGAAAUUCGUAGAUAUCGGAAAGAACACCUGAGGCGAAGGCGGCUAUCUGGCGGUGCAUUGACGCUGAGGCGCGAAAGCGUGGGGAGCAAACAGG
Molecule: ribosomal RNA, 253 nt
Filed under: uncultured bacterium
Lineage: Bacteria
Description: partial 16S ribosomal RNA
Rfam family: Bacterial small subunit ribosomal RNA
Source: RNAcentral